GUUAAAUGCUGUCGGCAGUGAUAAAUAGGCAGGCAGCAAGUGGCUGCGCUGCUUCCCUGUGUUUUUCUCCGAGAACCUGCAGCAGAUUGCCUAUAAUUGCUCAUUGCUCUCCAUUAGUGUAUCUCCCUCCUGGCAACUCUUUAAUAGUUUACAUCUCUUGGGGCUGAAAAUUACUAUUUUAAUUAAAACAAUUUGUUUCAAAUGGGGCUCCCAAAUCCCCACACGAUGUUUUAGGAGCCUUGGGCAAAGAACAGAAAACGGAGAGGAGCAAUUGUUUUUAGGGCUAAGAGUAAAGCUGAAUGUAGGAGUUUGGGAUUCUCAAUCAAUUUCUGAGGCCCAACCUCACAGACUGUGAGAAGCAAUGAUUUUCUGGAGAAGAAAAAGAAAGUGCCAAGAAAAGGAGCUUUGGGCGCUUAAAUGCUACAACAACGCACUUUGGAAGUGUGAGGGAGCAGCCAGAGCCAUGCAAGUGCUGUUUGCUCUUCCUGCACGUACCGAGCUGGAGGCUCCCAGUCCCUGUGCCACUUCUCAGUUCCUGAGGGUUUCGCAUCUGCUGCCAGCUGUGCCCAGGGCUCCUGCUGUGUGCUGGAGCAAGUCCUUCGUCAGGCAUCGAGGGGAAGGACUUGGGAAGUUUCCAUGUCUGGGGCUGAGCCCCGAUGCCUGCUGUGCUGGAUUCACCAUACACCAGCAGCACAACGAUCAUCCACUUCAUUCCAAGCACCUGCCUGCCUGCCAAACAUCCUUGCUCUGCUCUGAUGGCAGCCUCUGUGAUAGUUCCUGGGAAGCUGGUGCUCGCACGUGUGCCAGGGACUGGCUGGUGACUGCAAACAGAAUUCCCGUCUGGACCAACCCCCUGAAGAGCUGGGUCUGCUGCAGCUCCAGCUGCACAGUGGCUACAUCAAAGUCCAGAGAAGGAAGGCUGCCCUUGUGGUUGGUGGCUAAUGUUUGGCUACUGAACUGAAAAAUCAAUUAUUCCUACAGCCCUGCUGGAGAUCUUGGGUUCAGUCCUCAAUUCGUCUGCCAAGGUUGCAGCGAAAAACAUUUGUAAGGCUGUAAUAGUAAAUCAGAUGCCUUUGUCUUCUAUAUGCUGCACUCAUAGGCUUUGGACCUAAUUGCGCUGUUUUGCUGGCCCUUGCUGUGAUAAAAUAUCCACAGAUAAUGAGAUUUGAAUUCUGGGAACUGGAUGCUGGAUGAGGGAACCAGUGGAAGAGAACAUGAAUUUUGCAGAUUCCAUGUGUUGACAUUAUUUAUAUAAGACAUCAGCUGAAGACAUGUAAGGUCAAGCAUGCUGAAGUAUAUAUAUAUAUUUUUACAUGGGAUAUGAUUCAAAACAGCUAUCAUAAAUAGGUAUGAACUGUUCUGAUUGAUGCUUCUGAGCAGAUAUUCUCUUGAGGCAGUUUUGUGAGGGCUUUCUCAUACCUUUCUGAGGUCAUAGACAGAAAAUGGGGUGGGAUGAAAUACCAGUCUGCUGUAUUAUGAUAAAUACCAGGAAUGUUUGGAAUGCUUACAGGACUACAUAAGCUCUUGGAGAGCCUCUGAAAACUGCAGAAGCUAUUGGAGAAGGCAUUUGUUACUCUUGUUUUUUUUUUCUUUUCUUUUCUUUUUUCCCUGUGGUAUUUAUUUGUAUUCAAGUCGUGGAACCGGCAGAUUCUGAACAUUUAAGCAGUUGCACAGAUAUUCUUGCAGUAUCCAGAAGCAGCCCUGAAGUAACCUGGCUCGUUCCCAAACUGCAGCUGGACUUUUCUUUGUUUAGAAGAAACAAAACAGCAGUGGUGAAAUGCUGCAUAAAGAAGAAAAAGAAGUUCAAAUGUUAAUGCCCAGUUAAACACUAAAAACAAACAAAAAAAAAACAAAAAAAAGAAAACCACAAGACAAACAAACAAAAAAAGAGCUGCAACUUUUCUGUUUUACUCUUUAGGACUUCACAUGAGUUACCACAGGUUUGUGGGGAGGAUGGUGCCCUUUGCUUUUUCCACGAUUCUCAUUACAGAGGCAUUAUGGUGGCACCCUGGUUUAUUAACUUCUUGAGGCUAGCAAGUUAGAUACGUGUAACUCCUGGAGCUGACUGGGAUAUACAUUUACUUUAACUGAAACUUGUGUUCUGAAAAUGCGGAUGGAAGUUUCACGGUCUUUUCCCAAAGGGGCCUUGGUUCAGUCUGGAGCACAGCUCUGGGAAGUGUUCUCAGGACUGGCGCUGGCAACUCCUGGUUUUUGUUUGUGGGAAGGAGAAAGUAUUUCUGCUACACAUGUACCUUUACUGUUGGGUCCCUCUAGUACCCUUACUACCCAUGCUAUUAGGUUUUUACUUGUCAGCCCAGCAGGGACUGCUGGAAAGUGCACAGUUCAUUGGAAGGAGAACUCAUGAGCCCAAAUAACCGUGAAUGUUUCUUUUCUUUGUGUAUAUUAGACCAUAAACUAAGUACUAUACCAAUCCUUCUGAGCGGAGAAUAUUUUCCCUGCUAAAUACAUAUCUUUGGGAUACAUAUUGGUUUAGCUAUUUUUAAAUUAAAAAGUCCUUAUGAUGGCUAGUCAUGUAGUCUGCCAUGGGGUUUUUACCGUAUAAUGUCAUUUAAUGUCAGUCACUUCACAGAGAUGCUUUUGCUAAAGGCAUGCUUCGGGCUGCUGAGCUCACAGGCUUGUGCUUUGCCUGAUCUGUCAGUUCCGAGCAGACGUUCCCUACAAUCAGGUUAACUAGUUGUAGCAGAACUGAAGCCAAAUCAAAUGAGCAGACGUUUACAUUUCUGGGAUAAUACUAACCACAUCUGGAGCGAUACGAGUAAGAAAUGUAUAUAGAGGAAGAAAAUUCAAAGAGCAAUGUUUCUACAGUAGUAUCAAUAUUCCCUGGCGUGGCUGUACUUGAGGGGGAAAAAAAAAAGUCAUUUACUUCAUUUGCUGUUACAUCUGCAUUCUUAUUAAGUGUUAUACAAUAAAAUGCAUUGAUCAGACA
Anser brachyrhynchus (Pink-footed goose) is the source of this 2947-nucleotide long non-coding RNA. The record is from Ensembl. Lineage: Eukaryota; Metazoa; Chordata; Aves; Anseriformes; Anatidae.